RNAcentral lists this ribosomal RNA (253 nucleotides) under uncultured bacterium. Its description in RNAcentral is "partial 16S ribosomal RNA". It matches the Rfam family "Bacterial small subunit ribosomal RNA", at positions 524 to 776 of the family's 1533-position model. The record is from RNAcentral.
UACAGAGGGUGCGAGCGUUGUCCGGAAUCACUGGGCGUAGAGGGCGCGUAGGCGGUUUUGUAAGUCGGGGGUGAAAUGCUGCGGCUCAACCGCAGCGCUGCCUUCGAGACUGCAAGACUGGAGCACGGUAGAGGCGGAUGGAAUUCCCGGUGUAGCGGUGGAAUGCGUAGAGAUCGGGAAGAACACCAAUGGCGAAGGCAGUCCGCUGGGCCGUUGCUGACGCUGAGGCACGAAAGUGUGGGGAUCAAACAGG